Non-coding RNA from Myotis lucifugus (little brown bat), 75 nucleotides. Lineage: Eukaryota; Metazoa; Chordata; Mammalia; Chiroptera; Vespertilionidae. The record is from Rfam.
UGUGGUUCUUGGAUGAUGUACCCUGGAAUCGGGCUCCCUCCUCUCUGGUUCCCAGUGUAUCACCCGAGAACCGCA